UCGUAACAAGGUUUCCGUAGGUGAACCUGCGGAAGGAUCAUUAAUAGUGCCCUCUGAUGCAAAUCAUUGGGUUAGAUCUGCUCUCUUCGCAAGAAGAGGGUUUCCAUACACACCGUGAACUGUGGCUUCGGCCAUCACAAACUGUUAGUAAUGAAUGUAAUAUCAUAACAAAAACAAAACUUUUAACAACGGAUCUCUUGGCUCUCGCAUCGAUGAAGAACGCAGCGAAAUGCGAUAAGUAAUGUGAAUUGCAGAAUUCAGUGAAUCAUCGAAUCUUUGAACGCACCUUGCGCCCUUUGGUAUUCCGAAGGGCAUGCCUGUUUGAGUGUCAUGAAACCUCACCCCACUUGGGUUUUUGCCUGAGCGGUGGUGUAUUGGGUGUUGCCUUGCUAAAGGCUCGCCUUAAAGACAUAAGCACCUUGGAUGUAAUACGUUUCAUCCUUCUGGGUGGCUGAUAACCCCACAUAUUCAUGAUCUGGCCUCAAAUCAGGUAGGGCUACCCGCUGAACUUAAGCAUAUC
Molecule: unclassified non-coding RNA, 520 nt
Filed under: Vishniacozyma victoriae
Lineage: Eukaryota; Fungi; Basidiomycota; Tremellomycetes; Tremellales; Bulleribasidiaceae
Description: sequence contains 18S rRNA gene, ITS1, 5.8S rRNA gene, ITS2, 28S rRNA gene
Rfam family: 5.8S ribosomal RNA (bases 178-331)
Source: RNAcentral